Molecule: ribosomal RNA, 316 nt
Filed under: Mulloidichthys flavolineatus (yellowstripe goatfish)
Lineage: Eukaryota; Metazoa; Chordata; Actinopteri; Syngnathiformes; Mullidae
Description: partial large subunit ribosomal RNA
Rfam family: Bacterial large subunit ribosomal RNA
Source: RNAcentral
UAGACACUAAGACGGAUCAUGUUAAUAAACCCUGCAUAAAGGAUUAAACAAGAUGAACCCCGCCUGCAUGUCUUUGGUUGGGGCGACCGCGGGGAAACAAAUAACCCCCGUGUGGACUGGGAGAACUUCUCCUAAAAGCAAGAACCACAGUUCUAACUAACAGAACUUCUGACCUAUAAGAUCCGGCUAGUGCCGAUCAACGGACCGAGUUACCCUAGGGAUAACAGCGCAAUCCUCUUUGAGAGUCCAUAUCGAUGAGAGGGUUUACGACCUCGAUGUUGGAUCAGGACAUCCUGAUGGUGCAGCCGCUAUUAAG